This 528-nucleotide long non-coding RNA is filed under the name Malus domestica (apple). RNAcentral describes it as "long non-coding RNA (MDOM_LNC004859)". Lineage: Eukaryota; Viridiplantae; Streptophyta; Magnoliopsida; Rosales; Rosaceae. The record is from RNAcentral.
AAAACUUGGUCAUUUUCAAAGCCCUCUGCCAUGCACAAACAAUAUCAAUGACUGGAAGUAAACACUCGGUUUCAUAUUCAAGGCCCUCAACCAUCCAUAAACAAUAUAAGGUAAAUGAAAUGCGUAAUGAACAAUAUAAGGUAAAUGAAAUGCGUAUUGAAUUACAAGCACAAGAACCUAAAUAAGCAGAGAUUGGAAGAGAUACCAAGCAAUCAACAACUUUGGCAAUAUAAAUGAAUUUUCACACUCAUAUAGAUAAUUAAGACAGAGGUCGCACUUGGUGCGAUGGCAAGUGCCUUCGCCCAUGAACGGUAGGUCUCGGGUUCGAGACUUGGAAGCAGCCUCUCCAUAAAAUGGGGGUAAGGCUAGCCGACAUUCAUCUUUCCCAGACCCUGCGUAAAGCGGGAGCCUUGUGCACCGAGUACCACCUUUAUAUAGAUAAUUAAGACAAAGGCCUGAGUGAAAUAGAAGCAACACCGAGUCCAGUACCUUAAUUUAACAACUGCCAAUAUUUAAUUACGAAGCUAA